This 253-nucleotide ribosomal RNA is filed under the name uncultured bacterium. RNAcentral describes it as "partial 16S ribosomal RNA". It matches the Rfam family "Bacterial small subunit ribosomal RNA", at positions 524 to 776 of the family's 1533-position model. The record is from RNAcentral.
UACGUAGGGUGCAAGCGUUGUCCGGAAUUAUUGGGCGUAAAGAGCUCGUAGGCGGUCUGUUGCGUCGGCUGUGAAAACCCGGGGCUCAACCCCGGGCCUGCAGCCGAUACGGGCAGACUAGAGUUCGGCAGGGGAGACUGGAAUUCCUGGUGUAGCGGUGAAAUGCGCAGAUAUCAGGAGGAACACCGGUGGCGAAGGCGGGUCUCUGGGCAAUAACUGACGCUGAGGCGCGAAAGCGUGGGGAGCAAACAGG